CCCUGUGAGGGACAUAGACGCACAGUUAGCCCGAGUUUCCGCACCCGUUGCUGCCCUAGGCUAGAGCUGCCCGGUGCACUCUCUAGAGAGUCCUCAAAUAAUUAAUAGACUUUAUGCUGGGCGUGUUGCCUUAAUGGUAGAUCACUUACCUAGCGUUCAACCCUCAGACUCAAUCCACAAGGCUGCCGAAAUGAAUACACGAAUAAAUAAACCACUCAGGACUGGGAACAGGGAGGUAGGUUACUACUGGGUUAUGGGUCAAGUUUCCAAAGGCUCUGGAGCCUGGGACAAGUCACACAAGUUCCCAGAACCCGUUAACUGUGCGUUCCAACAGAGAUUAUGCUGUCUUCUGCUUUCCUUCCAGGGAACAAAAUCUAUGGACACCAUCCACAGAUUUAAAUAAAGGUUUAAACGGGAAGGUGGAGACUAUUAGAAAGCUGCUCCAGACAGGCUGUUACAUAGUCCAAGUUGACCUCAAACCCCCGAUUCUCCGGCCUCCACCUCCUGAGUUCUAGAAUUCCAGGCUUGCAUCGGCAUGCACAGCCAGAACUCAUUGUCCUCGGUUAAGAUGAAGGCCUUUAGAGACCGGCUACCAACAGCUGAUGUUUCUCAGUGCCCCCAGAAGAACACUGGUCUCCUGACUCAUAGGUCCUACAGCUCCUGGUUGACCUCCAUGAUCUAGCUGACCAGUAAGAAGUUUUCAGG
Long non-coding RNA from Mus musculus (house mouse), 705 nucleotides. RefSeq annotates it as predicted gene, 36428. The transcript is spliced from 2 exons. The record is from RefSeq and is a predicted model, not a curated record. Lineage: Eukaryota; Metazoa; Chordata; Mammalia; Rodentia; Muridae.